GGGUGAGUAACACGUAUCCAACCUGCCGAUGACUCGGGGAUAGCCUUUCGAAAGAAAGAUUAAUACCCGAUGGCAUAGUUCUUCCGCAUGGUGGAACUAUUAAAGAAUUUCGGUCAUCGAUGGGGAUGCGUUCCAUUAGGUUGUUGGCGGGGUAACGGCCCACCAAGCCUUCGAUGGAUAGGGGUUCUGAGAGGAAGGUCCCCCACAUUGGAACUGAGACACGGUCCAAACUCCUACGGGAGGCAGCAGUGAGGAAUAUUGGUCAAUGGACGAGAGUCUGAACCAGCCAAGUAGCGUGAAGGAUGACUGCCCUAUGGGUUGUAAACUUCUUUUAUACGGGAAUAAAGUGAGGCACGUGUGCCUUUUUGUAUGUACCGUAUGAAUAAGGAUCGGCUAACUCCGUGCCAGCAGCCGCGGUAAUACGGAGGAUCCGAGCGUUAUCCGGAUUUAUUGGGUUUAAAGGGAGCGUAGGCGGACGCUUAAGUCAGUUGUGAAAGUUUGCGGCUCAACCGUAAAAUUGCAGUUGAUACUGGGUGUCUUGAGUACAGUAGAGGCAGGCGGAAUUCGUGGUGUAGCGGUGAAAUGCUUAGAUAUCACGAAGAACUCCGAUUGCGAAGGCAGCUUGCUGGACUGUAACUGACGCUGAUGCUCGAAAGUGUGGGUAUCAAACAGGAUUAGAUACCCUGGUAGUCCACACAGUAAACGAUGAAUACUCGCUGUUUGCGAUAUACAGUAAGCGGCCAAGCGAAAGUCGUUAAGUAUUCCACCUGGGGAGUAC
This 778-nucleotide ribosomal RNA is filed under the name uncultured bacterium. Its description in RNAcentral is "bacterial SSU rRNA". It matches the Rfam family "Bacterial small subunit ribosomal RNA", at positions 104 to 883 of the family's 1533-position model. The record is from RNAcentral.